Molecule: long non-coding RNA, 471 nt
Organism: Eptesicus fuscus (big brown bat)
Lineage: Eukaryota; Metazoa; Chordata; Mammalia; Chiroptera; Vespertilionidae
Exons: 3
Source: RefSeq, a predicted model, not a curated record
CCCCGCCCCGCCCCGCCCCGCCCGCCGGAGCCGUCCAGUCGCAGCCCUGCGGGAAACUCGCGGCGCCGAGACCGCCCGGGGGAGCGCGCGUGCGCGCGGGGCCCUGACUGCGGGAGCGCCGGCGGCGGAGCGGGUCCGGCCCGGGGCAGCGAGGGAACCCGCGGCCGCCCGAGCCCGCUCCCGCCGCGAGAGGCGGGCUCCAGCCGCGGUCCGCGCGCUCGCGCUGAGCCCGGCGCCCAGGUGGGAUGGAAGAAGCCUAUCAGAAUGAGAGGAUGACGUCUGCCAGUUGCGCUGCUGAAAGAUGCAGCCUACAGAAGGCCAAUUAUUCCAUCCUGUCAUGGACCAGGUAUCACUCAUCUUGCUAGUCUGGUGCCCAGCAAAGAACUGAUAUGCAAAGAGUAUCUGGUGAAGGAAUUGAACUCCCCAUGGAACCUGUCAAACCAAGAAUGUAACAGUUUCCCGGACUUUAAA